RNAcentral lists this ribosomal RNA (440 nucleotides) under uncultured bacterium. RNAcentral describes it as "partial 16S ribosomal RNA". It matches the Rfam family "Bacterial small subunit ribosomal RNA", at positions 338 to 795 of the family's 1533-position model. The record is from RNAcentral.
CCUACGGGAGGCAGCAGUGGGGAAUAUUGCACAAUGGGGGAAACCCUGAUGCCGCCACGCCGCGUGAGUGAAGAAGUAUUUCGGUAUGUAAAGCUCUAUCAGCAGGGAAGAAAAUGACAGUACCUGACUAAGAAGCCCCGGCUAACUACGGGCCAGCAGCCGCGGUACUACGUAGGGGGCAAGCAUUAUCCGGAUUUACUGGUUGUAAAGGGAGCGUAGACGGCUGCGCAAGUCAGAAGUGAAUGCCCGGGGCUCAACCGCGGGACUGCUUUUGAAACUGCGAGGCUGGAGUGCUGGAGAGGUAAGCGGAAUUCCUGGUGUAGCGGUGAAAUGCGUAGAUAUCAGGAGGAACACCGGUGGCGAAGGCGGCUUACUGGACAGUGACUGACGUUGAGGCUCGAAAGCGUGGGGAGCGAACAGGAUUAGAUACCCUUGUAGUC